UCAACGCCAGUACUCAAGUCAACCUUCCAGUGGCCGCGUAUUCCGUGUUUUACUCCGCGACUACGAUCUUGUAAAAACGUUUCGUCUUGGCAUUACCCCAACCCCGUGUGUACUCACCCUCCUCUGUGGCACCCUAGCGUUUAAACCUUCCCCUGUGGCACCCCAGCACCUAUCUUUGACACCUUAAUUCCCCCUAUGUAACACCCUGCGUACCCUCCCUUCCUUUGUCUCCCUUUGAAAAGUGGAGAUCCCAGACUUGCCCCAGAACGCGUCACAUCUCACCCGCGCUUGCCCGUCUAAACCUAACUUCAUAUAACUCUCCAGUGUUAUUCCAUCUCUUCUCACUGCUGGAUAGUUUAUUUUAUGCGUUGCGAUCCGUUUUCAUGUCUUUCUGUAGUGCCUCAAUGUCACGGUUUGAGCUCCAACCGCAGAACACUCAGCCAGUCUCUUGCAGAAGUAGAUUUCUUGAACCCCUACUAGAAAAAAAAGAACCAAUCCAAACUGCAGAACUAGAAAGUUUGAACUCCCGAUAGGAAAAAGAAAAAUGGAAAAGAUCCUGCAGAAUCACCAGGAGAAAAAGAAACCAGCAAGCCUGCGGUCGAGAAAGCAAUCCCUCGUCCAGUUGAAGGAUGGGCUGUGCAGGAGACUCCACCGCCGAAGGAGCAUCCUCACAGACCCUAACUCACCAGGGCUUUCUUCCCUCCUGAGGAACAUCAACACGCAGAUAGCAGCCACGAGUAACUUCUCUGUCAACGAACUUGAAGAUGGGGCUGCGGUGGGGCGGCAGGUCAGGUCCAGCUCCGUGCCGCCCUUUGCCAUCCAUGACACCCUCGAAGCCUCCUAUAAUCAGACCGACGAUGGGGAUGACAGUGGCAGUGGAAGCUCCUCAUCCUCCAGCAGCGAGGAAGACGAGGACGAGGACGAUAUGCUUUUGGCGUUCAUGAACAACCAGCAUGCCUCUCCUCGCGACUCCACUUCUUCUCUUUAUGGUAAGUGUUGAUGACCGACGACUGUGGAGAGAGAACACGCGUAAGUAGGUGAGUAAGUGAGUAACGUAAGUAAAUAUAAGUAAGGAAGGAAGGAAGAGUAAAUGAAUGUAAGUAAAAGUUUUAGGAAGGAAAGAUGGAAGGGAAGGAUGGGCGGAGGGAGGGAAAGAAGGAAGGAAGGAAGGAAGGAAGGAAGAAAGGAAGGGAGGAAGGAUGAAGAGAAGGAAGAAAGCAGUAAAGAAAACGAAAAAAGAAAAGAAAGAAAGGAAGGAAGGAAGGAAGGAAAGAAGGAAGGAAGCAAUAAAGAAAAGAGAGAAAAAAAGAAGGAAGAAAGGAAGGAAGGAAGGAAAGAAGGAAGGAAGCAAUAAAGAAAAGAGAGAAAAAAAAGAAGGAAGGAAGAAAGAAAGGAAGGAAGGAAAGAAGAAAGAAGGAAGGAAAAUAGAAAAAGAAUGAAAAGAAAAGAAAUGAAGGAAAAAAAGGGAAGGAGAGAAUGAAAAAAAAGGAAGGAAGGAAAGAAGGAAGUAAAAUAGGGAUAAUGAAAGAAGGAUAAGGAAGGUAAAAAGACAGAAAAUAGGGAAAAAAGCGAAGGACAGAAGGAGGAAAAAGAAGAAAAGUGGAAAGGAAGGAAAGAAGCGGAUGUGUAAGAAAAUAAGAGGAAAAAAGAAGGAAAAUGCAAAAAAUUAGAGACAGGAAACAGGAAGGAAAAGAUUGUGUUCCAAGAAUUUAAUGAACAAAAGUGAACAGAGAAAAAUAAAUAAAUGGAUAAAAUAAAGA
Molecule: RNA transcript, 1760 nt
Organism: Eriocheir sinensis (Chinese mitten crab)
Lineage: Eukaryota; Metazoa; Arthropoda; Malacostraca; Decapoda; Varunidae
Exons: 3
Source: RefSeq, a predicted model, not a curated record